This 397-nucleotide ribosomal RNA is filed under the name uncultured bacterium. RNAcentral describes it as "partial 16S ribosomal RNA". It matches the Rfam family "Bacterial small subunit ribosomal RNA", at positions 523 to 918 of the family's 1533-position model. The record is from RNAcentral.
AUACGUAGGUGGCAAGCGUUGUCCGGAAUUAUUGGGCGUAAAGCGCAUGUAGGCGGUUUGGUAAGUCAGUUGUGAAAGCGCUGGGCUUAACCGAGGAUUGGCAUCGGAAAUUGUGAAUCUGGAGUGCAGAAGGGGAAAGGGGAACUCCAGGGGUAGCGGUGGAAUGGGUAGUUAUAUGGAAGAACACCAGUGGCGAAGGCGGCUCUCUGGUCUGUAACUGACGCUGAGGCUCGAAAGCAUGGGUAGCGAACAGGAUUAGAUACCCUGGUAGUCCAUGCUGUAAACGAUGAGUGCUAAGUGUUGGGAGGUUUCCGCCUCUCAGUGCUGCAGCUAACGCAUUAAGCACUCCGCCUGGGGAGUACGACCGCAAGGUCAAAACUCAAAGGAAUUGACGGGG